RNAcentral lists this ribosomal RNA (578 nucleotides) under uncultured bacterium. Its description in RNAcentral is "bacterial SSU rRNA". It matches the Rfam family "Bacterial small subunit ribosomal RNA", at positions 102 to 694 of the family's 1533-position model. The record is from RNAcentral.
ACGGGUGAGUAACACGUGAGUAACCUGCCCUUGACUCUGGGAUAAGCCUGGGAAACUGGGUCUAAUACCGGAUAUGACUCCUCAUCGCAUGGUGGGGGGUGGAAAGCUUUUGUGGUUUUGGAUGGACUCGCGGCCUAUCAGCUUGUUGGUGGGGUAAUGGCCUACCAAGGCGACGACGGGUAGCCGGCCUGAGAGGGUGACCGGCCACACUGGGACUGAGACACGGCCCAGACUCCUACGGGAGGCAGCAGUGGGGAAUAUUGCACAAUGGGCGCAAGCCUGAUGCAGCGACGCCGCGUGAGGGAUGACGGCCUUCGGGUUGUAAACCUCUUUCAGUAGGGAAGAAGCGUAAGUGACGGUACCUGCAGAAGAAGCGCCGGCUAACUACGUGCCAGCAGCCGCGGUAAUACGUAGGGCGCAAGCGUUAUUCGGAAUUAUUGGGCGUAAAGAGCUCGUAGGCGGUUUGUCGCGUCUGCUGUGAAAGACCGGGGCUCAACUCCGGUUCUGCAGUGGGUACGGGCAGACUAGAGUGCAGUAGGGGAGACUGGAAUUCCUGGUGUAGCGGUGAAAUGCGCAGA